Molecule: small RNA, 756 nt
Filed under: Pan troglodytes (chimpanzee)
Lineage: Eukaryota; Metazoa; Chordata; Mammalia; Primates; Hominidae
Description: retained intron
Source: RNAcentral
GUUGAUGCUCCUCACUCUGCUGGUGCUAGGUAUGGUGUGGGUGGCAUCAGCCAUUGUGGACAAGAACAAGGCCAACAGAGAGUCACUCUAUGACUUUUGGGAGUACUAUCUCCCCUACCUCUACUCAUGCAUCUCCUUCCUUGGGGUUCUGCUGCUCCUGGUGUGUACUCCACUGGGUCUCGCCCGCAUGUUCUCCGUCACUGGGAAGCUGCUAGUCAAGCCCCGGCUGCUGGAAGACCUGGAGGAGCAGCUGUACUGCUCAGCCUUUGAGGAGGCAGCCCUGACCCGCAGGAUCUGUAAUCCUACUUCCUGCUGGCUGCCUUUAGACAUGGAGCUGCUACACAGACAGGUCCUGGCUCUGCAGACACAGAGGGUCCUGCUGGGUAUGUGGCUUCGUAGGGCUUGGGAUACCUGGGUUUCCCCAAGGAGAGUAGCCCCUGGUUCCAGGUGCUUGCUGACAGCCUCCCAUCCCUGCACAGAGAAGAGGCGGAAGGCUUCAGCCUGGCAACGGAACCUGGGCUACCCCCUGGCUAUGCUGUGCUUGCUGGUGCUGACGGUAGGUAUACCAGCCCUAGAGGUGAGGAGUGGACCCUCAGUACUUGAGGCCUUCUCAGGGAGAGGGGAGGCAAUGCAGGGACCUGGUUAUCAUCAGUAAUAGUGGUUGCUUCUCACUGAGUGCCUACUUUUAUGUCCUGCCUGUGGUGAGCACAAAUGUUGAGCACAUCAAUCCCCAUUUUGUAGAUGAAGAGACAGAGU